This 254-nucleotide ribosomal RNA is filed under the name uncultured bacterium. RNAcentral's name for it is "partial 16S ribosomal RNA". It matches the Rfam family "Bacterial small subunit ribosomal RNA", at positions 524 to 776 of the family's 1533-position model. The record is from RNAcentral.
CACGUAGGGGGCGAGCGUUGUCCGGAUUUAUUGGGCGUAAAGAGCUCGUAGGCGGCUCGGUAAGUCAGGUGUGAAAACUCUAGGCUCAACCUAGAGACGCCACCUGAUACUGCCGUGGCUAGAGUCCGGUAGGGGAGCAUGGAAUUCCUGGUGUAGCGGUGAAAUGCGCAGAUAUCGGGAAGAACACCUAUGGCGAAGGCAGCUCUCUGGGACGGUACUGACGCUGAGACGCGAAAGCGUGGGGAGCGAACAGG